Acanthosepion pharaonis is the source of this 112-nucleotide non-coding RNA. The record is from the annotation of a GenBank genome assembly. Lineage: Eukaryota; Metazoa; Mollusca; Cephalopoda; Sepiida; Sepiidae.
UCGGCUAUACCACACUGAAACACCGGUUCUUGUACGAUCAUCGAAGUUAAGCAAUGUCGAGCCUGGUCAAUAACUAGAUGGGUUACCGCUUGGAAAUGCCAAUCGCUGUAAG